AGACAUGCGCAGUGCGGCCGUCCCUAGAGGCGGGUUAACGGCCGCGGACCUGGCAGUUCUCAGGCUUCUCCAAGGGAGAAGCCCCCUUGCCAGGGUCUCGAUUUCCCGCCAACCAACAAAGGUUCAUUUGCCUCUUAUGGCCUGCGCGGGAGGGUUGCCAUGGAGUGCCGCUUGGUCCUCGGGCUCGCAGCGUGGCCCACACCUGGGUCGGGCCUCUCACGGGGACGCUCCCGCCACUGUGAUAAAGAGGAGAAAACGUCACAGGGGAAGGGCCUGACCCUGCUGCAUCCAUUUUUUAGAUUAAGUACUGCACGACUACUCGCUUCUGAAACUGUCAUAAGAAACUGCCUCAGCUCCCUGCAGGGUGGACACACAAGAGCAGAAUCUCCGUGGGACAUCUCUUUGGAGCAUCAAUAUUACUACAGUAUUUGGAAGACACAAAUUUAAAUAAUUUCUAAGGUAAAGAAUGGAACAUUUAAGACAAGGCUGGAAAGUCAUCUGCCUUUAAUAACUCAUCUGUGCCUCACAUGUCAGACUUUCUCCAAGAAAAAAACUAAGGAGAACUUAUUUCCAUUCUUAUAAGUAGUAAAAAUAAUAAAUCAUAUCAAGUCAAUUGAAA
Long non-coding RNA from Homo sapiens (human), 619 nucleotides. NCBI's taxonomy places the organism in Eukaryota, Metazoa, Chordata, Mammalia, Primates, Hominidae. The record is from Ensembl.